This is a long non-coding RNA of Zea mays, 490 nucleotides long. RefSeq lists it as uncharacterized. Lineage: Eukaryota; Viridiplantae; Streptophyta; Magnoliopsida; Poales; Poaceae. The transcript is spliced from 2 exons. The record is from RefSeq and is a predicted model, not a curated record.
GUAUGCUAAUUUUUCCUCACAGCAAAUCGCCAUGGCAUCCAGUAAGGACGCAGUGAUCGCUGCUAUCUUCAUCCAGGUCUUGCUCCUCAUGGCAUCGUCCUAUUGUGCGGAGGCAAAGAUAUGCACGAAGCCUAAUCCAUUUUACCUGACCUUAUGCCAAAGCGACAAGGCCUGCGGAGACUCGUGCAUUCACUUUGGCAUCGGCACCAGCGGGUUCUGCAAAGGCAGACGACCACCCACCAGAGUCUGCACGUGUAACUUCGAAUGUCCAGGGCAAGAGCGAAGCAACACGUUUACAUGAUGGGGAUGAGCCGCUAUAUCUAGCUUAAUUAUUAGCAUGCCCAAACUGAAUAUCCAAUAAUUUGAGUGUUUCUGUAGUUGAUUGUUCGCUGUUUGUUUCAAAACGGGCUAGCAGCAAGGACCAGAGCUGCAUGUGUAACAUUUGUUUUCAAAGUUAAUAUAUGUGUCCAAUCUUGUCUUUGGAGAUGCA